This 502-nucleotide ribosomal RNA is filed under the name uncultured bacterium. Its description in RNAcentral is "partial 16S ribosomal RNA". It matches the Rfam family "Bacterial small subunit ribosomal RNA", at positions 30 to 523 of the family's 1533-position model. The record is from RNAcentral.
AUUGAACGCUGGCGGCAGGCUUAACACAUGCAAGUCGAGCGGUAACAUUUCUAGCUUGCUAGAAGAUGACGAGCGGCGGACGGGUGAGUAAUACUUAGGAAUCUACCUAGUAGUGGGGGAUAGCUCGGGGAAACUCGAAUUAAUACCGCAUACGACCUACGGGAGAAAGGGGGCAACUUGUUGCUCUCGCUAUUAGAUGAGCCUAAGUCGGAUUAGCUAGAUGGUGGGGUAAAGGCCUACCAUGGCGACGAUCUGUAGCUGGUCUGAGAGGAUGGUCAGCCACACCGGGACUGGGACACGGGCCGGACUCCUACGGGAGGCAGCAGUGGGGAAUAUUGGACAAUGGGGGAAACCCUGAUCCAGCCAUGCCGCGUGUGUGAAGAAGGCCUUUUGGUUGUAAAGCACUUUAAGCAGUGAAGAAGACUCUUCGGUUAAUACCCGGAGACGAUGACAUUAGCUGCAGAAUAAGCACCGGCUAACUCUGUGCCAGCCGCCGCAGUAA